This 2921-nucleotide ribosomal RNA is filed under the name Klebsiella pneumoniae. Its description in RNAcentral is "bacterial LSU rRNA". It matches the Rfam family "Bacterial large subunit ribosomal RNA". The record is from RNAcentral. Lineage: Bacteria; Pseudomonadati; Pseudomonadota; Gammaproteobacteria; Enterobacterales; Enterobacteriaceae.
GGGUUGUGAGGUUAAGCGACUAAGCGUACACGGUGGAUGCCCUGGCAGUCAGAGGCGAUGAAGGACGUGCUAAUCUGCGAAAAGCGUCGGUAAGGUGAUAUGAACCGUUAUAACCGGCGAUGUCCGAAUGGGGAAACCCAGUGCAAUUCGUUGCACUAUCGUUAACUGAAUACAUAGGUUAACGAGGCGAACCGGGGGAACUGAAACAUCUAAGUACCCCGAGGAAAAGAAAUCAACCGAGAUUCCCCAGUAGCGGCGAGCGAACGGGGAGCAGCCCAGAGUCUGAAUCAGCUUGUGUGUUAGUGGAACGGUCUGGAAAGUCCGACGGUACAGGGUGAUAGUCCCGUACACCAAAAUGCACAGGUUGUGAACUCGAAGAGUAGGGCGGGACACGUGGUAUCCUGUCUGAAUAUGGGGGGACCAUCCUCCAAGGCUAAAUACUCCUGACUGACCGAUAGUGAACCAGUACCGUGAGGGAAAGGCGAAAAGAACCCCGGCGAGGGGAGUGAAAAAGAACCUGAAACCGUGUACGUACAAGCAGUGGGAGCACCUUCGGGUGUGACUGCGUACCUUUUGUAUAAUGGGUCAGCGACUUAUAUUCUGUAGCAAGGUUAACCGUAUAGGGGAGCCGCAGGGAAACCGAGUCUUAACUGGGCGUUAAGUUGCAGGGUAUAGACCCGAAACCCGGUGAUCUAGCCAUGGGCAGGUUGAAGGUUGGGUAACACUAACUGGAGGACCGAACCGACUAAUGUUGAAAAAUUAGCGGAUGACUUGUGGCUGGGGGUGAAAGGCCAAUCAAACCGGGAGAUAGCUGGUUCUCCCCGAAAGCUAUUUAGGUAGCGCCUCGUGAACUCAUCUUCGGGGUAGAGCACUGUUUCGGCUAGGGGGUCAUCCCGACUUACCAACCCGAUGCAAACUACGAAUACCGAAGAAUGUUAUCACGGGAGACACACGGCGGGUGCUAACGUCCGUCGUGAAGAGGGAAACAACCCAGACCGCCAGCUAAGGUCCCAAAGUCAUGGUUAAGUGGGAAACGAUGUGGGAAGGCACAGACAGCCAGGAUGUUGGCUUAGAAGCAGCCAUCAUUUAAAGAAAGCGUAAUAGCUCACUGGUCGAGUCGGCCUGCGCGGAAGAUGUAACGGGGCUAAACCAUGCACCGAAGCUGCGGCAGCGACACUAUGUGUUGUUGGGUAGGGGAGCGUUCUGUAAGUCUGCGAAGGUGACCUGUGAGGGUUGCUGGAGGUAUCAGAAGUGCGAAUGCUGACAUAAGUAACGAUAAAGCGGGUGAAAAGCCCGCUCGCCGGAAGACCAAGGGUUCCUGUCCAACGUUAAUCGGGGCAGGGUGAGUCGACCCCUAAGGCGAGGCCGAAAGGCGUAGUCGAUGGGAAACAGGUUAAUAUUCCUGUACUUGGUGUUACUGCGAAGGGGGGACGGAGAAGGCUAUGUUAGCCGGGCGACGGUUGUCCCGGUUUAAGCAUGUAGGCUGAUUAUCCAGGCAAAUCCGGAUAAUCAAGGCUGAGGUGUGAUGACGAGGCACUACGGUGCUGAAGUAACAAAUGCCCUGCUUCCAGGAAAAGCCUCUAAGCAUCAGGUAACAUUAAAUCGUACCCCAAACCGACACAGGUGGUCAGGUAGAGAAUACCAAGGCGCUUGAGAGAACUCGGGUGAAGGAACUAGGCAAAAUGGUGCCGUAACUUCGGGAGAAGGCACGCUGGUGUGUAGGUGAAGUCCCUGCGGAUGGAGCUGAGACCAGUCGAAGAUACCAGCUGGCUGCAACUGUUUAUUAAAAACACAGCACUGUGCAAACACGAAAGUGGACGUAUACGGUGUGACGCCUGCCCGGUGCCGGAAGGUUAAUUGAUGGGGUUAUCCGUAAGGAGAAGCUCUUGAUCGAAGCCCCGGUAAACGGCGGCCGUAACUAUAACGGUCCUAAGGUAGCGAAAUUCCUUGUCGGGUAAGUUCCGACCUGCACGAAUGGCGUAAUGAUGGCCAGGCUGUCUCCACCCGAGACUCAGUGAAAUUGAACUCGCUGUGAAGAUGCAGUGUACCCGCGGCAAGACGGAAAGACCCCGUGAACCUUUACUAUAGCUUGACACUGAACAUUGAGCCUUGAUGUGUAGGAUAGGUGGGAGGCUUUGAAGCGUGGACGCCAGUCUGCGUGGAGCCAACCUUGAAAUACCACCCUUUAAUGUUUGAUGUUCUAACGUUGGCCCCUGACCGGGGUUGCGGACAGUGUCUGGUGGGUAGUUUGACUGGGGCGGUCUCCUCCCAAAGCGUAACGGAGGAGCACGAAGGUUAGCUAAUCCUGGUCGGACAUCAGGAGGUUAGUGCAAUGGCAUAAGCUAGCUUGACUGCGAGCGUGACGGCGCGAGCAGGUGCGAAAGCAGGUCAUAGUGAUCCGGUGGUUCUGAAUGGAAGGGCCAUCGCUCAACGGAUAAAAGGUACUCCGGGGAUAACAGGCUGAUACCGCCCAAGAGUUCAUAUCGACGGCGGUGUUUGGCACCUCGAUGUCGGCUCAUCACAUCCUGGGGCUGAAGUAGGUCCCAAGGGUAUGGCUGUUCGCCAUUUAAAGUGGUACGCGAGCUGGGUUUAGAACGUCGUGAGACAGUUCGGUCCCUAUCUGCCGUGGGCGCUGGAGAAUUGAGGGGGGCUGCUCCUAGUACGAGAGGACCGGAGUGGACGCAUCACUGGUGUUCGGGUUGUCAUGCCAAUGGCACUGCCCGGUAGCUAAAUGCGGAAGAGAUAAGUGCUGAAAGCAUCUAAGCACGAAACUUGCCCCGAGAUGAGUUCUCCCUGAGACUUUAAGUCUCCUGAAGGAACGUUAAAGACGAUGACGUUGAUAGGCCGGGUGUGUAAGCGCAGCGAUGCGUUGAGCUAACCGGUACUAAUGAACCGUGAGGCUUAACCUUACAACGCCGAAG